GGAGUGGGCCGGGCGAUCGCUGGUUUUCAACCUCGGUUGGGAGCGGGAGGAAAGUCCGAGCUCCACAGGGCAGGGUGCUGGCUAACGGCCAGGCGAGGCAACUCGACGGAUAGUGCCACAGAGAGCAGACGGCCAUCCGUAGCGUCUUUUGGGACGUGAGGUGGUCAAGGUGAAAAGGUGCGGUAAGAGCGCACCGCGGUCGUGGCGACACUGACCGGCAUGGAAAACCCCACCCGGAGCAAUGCCAAAUAGGAGCCCCGGCGAGGCUUGCCUCGCGUCAACGGCCCGUUGAUUGGGGCUCGGGUAGGCAGCUCGAGUGUGCGGGCAACCGUAUGCCUAGAUGAAUGAUCGUCACCAGCUUCGCUGGGACAGAACUCGGCUUACAGGCCCACUCCGAUG
This 399-nucleotide RNase P RNA is filed under the name Deltaproteobacteria bacterium RIFOXYA12_FULL_58_15. RNAcentral's name for it is "RNase P RNA component class A". It matches the Rfam family "Bacterial RNase P class A". Rfam says of the family: Ribonuclease P (RNase P) is a ubiquitous endoribonuclease, found in archaea, bacteria and eukarya as well as chloroplasts and mitochondria. Its best characterised activity is the generation of mature 5'-ends of tRNAs by cleaving the 5'-leader elements of precursor-tRNAs. Cellular RNase Ps are ribonucleoproteins. The record is from RNAcentral. RNAcentral also lists the same sequence under 1 other name. Lineage: Bacteria; Deltaproteobacteria.